GGCGGGCCUGGGAGGAAGUCUGCAGCCCUGGGCUGCCGAGGGUGUGGCGUCUGUGUUUGCACCUUUGGAAUGCAGCUGAUUCACUCUGGGGGGAGCCUUGUGCAGCCACCGCUGCCGCCUUGGAGCUGACAUCUGGCGGCUGAAUUCCAGGAGGAGAGAGACAGAUUCCUGCAAGCAGAUGCCAACUCUGAAGGUCAAACUAAGCUAUGGAGCUGCUUUAGGAGGAGGCCCAGAGUCCACCACAGCCCCACCCCAGGAUUCGGGGAGAGAGGGGAAGUGCCUCUCCUGCCAGCUCGUGCCCUGGGCUACGCUCGUUUCCACGGCCGCGGGUUCACUGCCUCUGUGCAGAGCUGACGUGGCCGUCCGUGGCCGCUACCAUGGGCCACUCAUCCGGGACCCGUGCGCUGUAAGCCUGGCUCUGUGUCACUUGUCCCAGGCUGCCAAGACCUUUCUGCCCAGUUCCCUUUUGGGUGUUGAACAUUUAAAAAUAUGUUUAUCUUGUCUCUUUUACAAUGUGAUAGACUCUUAGAAUUUGAAGGACAAAGUAAUGAGAACUGCAUUUUUUUUCUGAGCUCUUAACAAGUGCUUUAAAAAAAGGCUCAGUCUGUAAAGCCUCCGGCUUCGGCUCAGGUCAGAUCUCACGGUCGUGGGUUCGAGCCCUGCAUCAGGCUCUGUGCUGACAACUAGCUCAGAGCCUGGAGCCUGCUUCCGGUUCUGUGUCUCCUUCUCUCUCUGCCCCUCCCCCUCUCAUGCUCUGUCUCUCUCUG
This is a long non-coding RNA of Suricata suricatta (meerkat), 767 nucleotides long. Lineage: Eukaryota; Metazoa; Chordata; Mammalia; Carnivora; Herpestidae. The record is from Ensembl.